GAUGAACGCUGGCGGCGUGCCUAACACAUGCAAGUCGAACGGAAAGGCUCCUGCUUGCAGGGGUACUCGAGUGGCGAACGGGUGAGUAACACGUGGGUGAUCUGCCCUGCACUUCGGGAUAAGCCUGGGAAACUGGGUCUAUUACCGGAUAGGACGAUGGUUUGGAUGCCAUUGUGGAAUGUUUUUCGGUGUGGGAUGAGCUCGCGGCCUAUCAGCUAGUUGGUGGGGUAAUGGCCUACCAAGGCGUCGACGCGUAGCUGGCCUGAGAGGAGGUACAGCCAGGACGGGAAUGAGACACGGACCAGAACGGGAGGGGGCGGAGGAGAGGGGAGUACUAGAGGCGGGAGCCAGAUGUAACGAAGCCGCGUGGGGUGAGACGGGAAGGGGGUAGGGUACUCAAGUCGCUAGGGACGAGACGAAAAUGACGGUACCUGGAGAAGAAGCACCGGCUAACUACGUG
RNAcentral lists this ribosomal RNA (460 nucleotides) under uncultured bacterium. Its description in RNAcentral is "partial 16S ribosomal RNA". It matches the Rfam family "Bacterial small subunit ribosomal RNA", at positions 28 to 507 of the family's 1533-position model. The record is from RNAcentral.